This 73-nucleotide transfer RNA is filed under the name Stegodyphus mimosarum. It matches the Rfam family "tRNA". Rfam says of the family: Transfer RNA (tRNA) molecules are approximately 80 nucleotides in length. Their secondary structure includes four short double-helical elements and three loops (D, anti-codon, and T loops). Lineage: Eukaryota; Metazoa; Arthropoda; Arachnida; Araneae; Eresidae. The record is from Rfam by way of RNAcentral.
GCCUUCGUGGUGUAGUGGUGAGCACACUUAAUGCGUAACCGAGAGGUCCGUGGUUCGAUUCUCGGCGAAAGCG